GCAUGGAUGCACACUGUGAUAUAUGCAUGCUGUGCGAAUACACGAUCCAAGCAUUCAUAAGAUCACAUACAGUUCCCUUUCUUUUCUUUUUUCUUUUUUCUUUUUUUUUAUUGGGCAUGCGAUCGAAUGCUUGCAGUGUUAAUGUGCAGCCCAAACGACUUCACAGGAAACCAAAAAUAAUGGUCAAACAUCAAAAAGGAAUACCCCAUGAGAUAAAAUAGUAAGGUCCCUUACGUGCAAUCGUGAAAACACGCGGCCGCACAUGAUCCUUCGAUCCACUCGAAAGGAUUAGAAACAN
RNAcentral lists this long non-coding RNA (298 nucleotides) under Elaeis guineensis (African oil palm). Its description in RNAcentral is "long non-coding RNA (EGUI_LNC033609)". Lineage: Eukaryota; Viridiplantae; Streptophyta; Magnoliopsida; Arecales; Arecaceae. The record is from RNAcentral.